Molecule: ribosomal RNA, 877 nt
Filed under: uncultured bacterium
Lineage: Bacteria
Description: bacterial SSU rRNA
Rfam family: Bacterial small subunit ribosomal RNA
Source: RNAcentral
GCUUAACACAUGCAAGUCGAGGGGCAGCAUGGUCUUAGCUUGCUAAGGCCGAUGGCGACCGGCGCACGGGUGAGUAACACGUAUCCAACCUGCCGUCUACUCUUGGAUAGCCUUCUGAAAGGAAGAUUAAUACAAGAUGGCAUCAUGAGUCCGCAUGUUCACAUGAUUAAAGGUAUUCCGGUAGACGAUGGGGAUGCGUUCCAUUAGAUAGUAGGCGGGGUAACGGCCCACCUAGUCUUCGAUGGAUAGGGGUUCUGAGAGGAAGGUCCCCCACAUUGGAACUGAGACACGGUCCAAACUCCUACGGGAGGCAGCAGUGAGGAAUAUUGGUCAAUGGGCGAGAGCCUGAACCAGCCAAGUAGCGUGAAGGAUGACUGCCCUAUGGGUUGUAAACUUCUUUUAUAAAGGAAUAAAGUCGGGUAUGGAUACCCGUUUGCAUGUACUUUAUGAAUAAGGAUCGGCUAACUCCGUGCCAGCAGCCGCGGUAAUACGGAGGAUCCGAGCGUUAUCCGGAUUUAUUGGGUUUAAAGGGAGCGUAGAUGGAUGUUUAAGUCAGUUGUGAAAGUUUGCGGCUCAACCGUAAAAUUGCAGUUGAUACUGGAUAUCUUGAGUGCAGUUGAGGCAGGCGGAAUUCGUGGUGUAGCGGUGAAAUGCUUAGAUAUCACGAAGAACUCCGAUUGCGAAGGCAGCCUGCUAAGCUGCAACUGACAUUGAGGCUCGAAAGUGUGGGUAUCAAACAGGAUUAGAUACCCUGGUAGUCCACACGGUAAACGAUGAAUACUCGCUGUUUGCGAUAUACAGCAAGCGGCCAAGCGAAAGCGUUAAGUAUUCCACCUGGGGAGUACGCCGGCAACGGUGAAACUCAAAUGAAUUGACG